RNAcentral lists this ribosomal RNA (443 nucleotides) under uncultured bacterium. RNAcentral describes it as "partial 16S ribosomal RNA". It matches the Rfam family "Bacterial small subunit ribosomal RNA", at positions 338 to 795 of the family's 1533-position model. The record is from RNAcentral.
CCUACGGGAGGCAGCAGUGGGGAAUAUUGGGCAAUGGGCGCAAGCCUGACCCAGCAACGCCGCGUGAAGGAAGAAGGCUUUCGGGUUGUAAACUUCUUUUGUCAGGGACGAAGCAAGUGACGGUACCUGACGAAUAAGCCACGGCUAACUACGUGCCAGCAGCCGCGGUAAUACGUAGGUGGCAAGCGUUAUCCGGAUUUACUGGGUGUAAAGGGCGUGUAGGCGGGACUGCAAGUCAGAUGUGAAAACCACGGGCUCAACCUGUGGCCUGCAUGUGAAACUGUAAGGCUAGAGUGUCGGAGAGGCAGGCGGAAUUCCUAGUGUAGCGGUGAAAUGCGUAGAUAUUAGGAGGAACACCAGUGGCGAAGGCGGCCUGCUGGACGAUGACUGACGUUGAGGCUCGAAAGCGUGGGGAGCAAACAGGAUGAGAUACCCGGGUAGUC